This is a non-coding RNA of Chiloscyllium plagiosum (whitespotted bambooshark), 502 nucleotides long. NCBI's taxonomy places the organism in Eukaryota, Metazoa, Chordata, Chondrichthyes, Orectolobiformes, Hemiscylliidae. The record is from RefSeq and is a predicted model, not a curated record.
GGUGAAGUUUGGAAAUCAUGAGGGGUAUAGAAAUGAUUCAAGAUCCGAGAAGGAUUACACCAAACACAAGGUUGGACAACUUGAAGAAAUCAAUUGUUAAGAACCAUGAAUAUAGAGGAAGAGAAGUGAUUGGAACGUUUGGAGUCUCAUGCAUUAACAGCUGUGCCUGAAGAUAAAGAUGAAGACAGAGAAGAAGAGCAACAAGACCACAAAUUAGUCUUGAGCAAAACAAAAUUCUCAAAGAGGAAAACACAUGCAGCUCGCUGCUCUUUAAAGAACCAUAAAUAACUUUCAAGAACAUUGUUCAAACAGCUGGACAUAAGGAAUGUUUUCAUCAAAUAAACGGCUUUUGGAAUCGAAGUCAAUAAUCUGUUCUUUCCCCAGCUACUCUGAGUGCCGGAAAUUAAAAGCAGUUCAUUUUAAUCUGGGACAAUAAAUUGCCCCAUUUGCAAAAUACCGAAAAAAUGUACUUUUGAGGGACGUCAUAAGGCGAUUAAGGGAA